This 329-nucleotide unclassified non-coding RNA is filed under the name soil metagenome. RNAcentral describes it as "partial contains 5.8S ribosomal RNA, internal transcribed spacer 2, and large subunit ribosomal RNA". The stretch from base 1 to 120 matches the Rfam family "5.8S ribosomal RNA", at positions 35 to 154 of the family's 154-position model. The record is from RNAcentral.
GAUGAAGAACGUAGUGAAAUGCUAUAAGUAGUGUGAAUUGCAGAAUUCAGUGAAUCAUCGAAUCUUUGAACGCACAUUGCGCCCCUUGGUAUCCCGAGGGGCAUGCCUGUUCGAGCGUCAUUUCACCACUCAAGCCUGGCUUGGUGUUGGGCGACGUCCCCUUUGGGGACGCGCCUCGAAACGCUCGGCGGCGUGGCACCGGCUUUAAGCGUAGCAGAAUCUUUCGCUUUGGAAGUCGGGGCCCCGUCUGCCGGAAGACCUACUCGCAAGGUUGACCUCGGAUCAGGCAGGGAUACCCGCUGAACUUAAGCAUAUCAAUAAGCGGAGGA